CAAAAGUAGAAUUAAGACAUCCGGGAUAAAUGACUCAGCUGAGCUCAAUGAAGCCAAAACAUGUGCGUCCAGGUUUAAUUGGUUGCACAAAGACCAAGCCAGGAUGAGCAGACACGGAUUCAUUAAGCCAGGUGAAACCAAUCCUGGAUAGGUGCGCGCUCACGGCUCACUCAAAUAGACCCCGCCACAGAUCACAGAUUAACUGAUUUACCAUGGCAACUAGAGCCGCGUACUUUUCCCCGUCGGAAGCACAAAUCCUCAUGGAGGCAUACGAGGAGGUAAAAUAUAUAAUUAAGAAGAAAGGCAACACCGCCACAGUGAUAAAGCAAAGAGAAAAAGCGUGGCAAAGUAUUGCAGACCGCCUGAAUGCAUUAAACAUGAACGGGCCAAAACGGACAUGGCAGCAGGUCAAAAUCAAAUACAAGAACAUUCUGCAGAAUGCAGUGAAAAAGAAUACCCACAGACAAGGCACGGGUGGUGGGUCACCAAAGGCUGACCUUACCCCAGCAGAGGACAUGGCCUUGGAGCUAAAUAAAGGCAGGCCCGUCUUAGAGG
Molecule: long non-coding RNA, 555 nt
Filed under: Salmo salar (Atlantic salmon)
Lineage: Eukaryota; Metazoa; Chordata; Actinopteri; Salmoniformes; Salmonidae
Description: lncRNA (ENSSSAG00000112324.1)
Source: RNAcentral